GCCGGAGUGGCGAAAUGGCAGACGCGACGGACUCAAAAUCCGUUGCCCCAAGGGGCGUGAGGGUUCAAAUCCCUCCUCCGGUACCA
This 86-nucleotide transfer RNA is filed under the name Candidatus Fermentibacterota bacterium. RNAcentral's name for it is "Candidatus Fermentibacteria bacterium tRNA-Leu". It matches the Rfam family "tRNA". Rfam says of the family: Transfer RNA (tRNA) molecules are approximately 80 nucleotides in length. Their secondary structure includes four short double-helical elements and three loops (D, anti-codon, and T loops). The record is from RNAcentral. Lineage: Bacteria; Pseudomonadati; Candidatus Fermentibacterota.